GAUGAAGAACGUAGCAAAAUGCGAUAAGUAAUGUGAAUUGCAGAAUUCAGUGAAUCAUCGAAUCUUUGAACGCACAUUGCGCCCGCCAGUAUUCUGGCGGGCAUGCCUGUUCGAGCGUCGUUUCAACCCUCAAGCCCUCGGGUUUGGUGUUGGGGAUCGGCGAGCCUUUCUGGCAAGCCGGCCCCGAAAUCUAGUGGCGGUCUCGCUGCAGCCUCCAUUGCGUAGUAGUAAAACCCUCGCAACUGGAACGCGGCGCGGCCAAGCCGUUAAACCCCCAACUUCUGAAUGUUGACCUCGGAUCAGGUAGGAAUACCCGCUGAACUUAAGCAUAUCAUAAGCGGAGGA
Molecule: unclassified non-coding RNA, 345 nt
Filed under: soil metagenome
Description: partial contains 5.8S ribosomal RNA, internal transcribed spacer 2, and large subunit ribosomal RNA
Rfam family: 5.8S ribosomal RNA (bases 1-120)
Source: RNAcentral